RNAcentral lists this ribosomal RNA (450 nucleotides) under uncultured bacterium. Its description in RNAcentral is "partial 16S ribosomal RNA". It matches the Rfam family "Bacterial small subunit ribosomal RNA", at positions 354 to 796 of the family's 1533-position model. The record is from RNAcentral.
GUGGGGAAUAUUGGACAAUGGGCGAAAGCCUGAUCCAGCCAUGCCGCGUGUGUGAAGAAGGUCUUCGGAUUGUAAAGCACUUUAAGUUGGGAGGAAGGGCAGUAAGUUAAUACCUUGCUGUUUUGACGUUACCGACAGAAUAAGCACCGGCUAACUCUGUGCCAGCAGCCGCGGUAAUACAGAGGGUGCAAGCGUUAAUCGGAAUUACUGGGCGUAAAGCGCGCGUAGGUGGUUUUGUAAGUUGGAGGUGAAAUCCCCGGGCUCAACCUGGGAACUGCCUCCAAAACUGCAUGACUAGAGUACGGUAGAGGGUAGUGGAAUUUCCUGUGUAGCGGUGAAAUGCGUAGAUAUAGGAAGGAACACCAGUGGCGAAGGCGACUACCUGGACUGAUACUGACACUGAGGUGCGAAAGCGUGGGGAGCAAACAGGAUUAGAAACCCGUGUAGUCC